AGAGUUUGAUCCUGGCUCAGAUUGAACGCUGGCGGCAUGCCUUACACAUGCAAGUCGAACGGCAGCACGGGAGCAAUCCUGGUGGCGAGUGGCGAACGGGUGAGUAAUACAUCGGAACGUGCCCAGUAGUGGGGGAUAACCCGGCGAAAGCCGGACUAAUACCGCAUACGACCUACGGGUGAAAGCGGGGGAUCGCAAGACCUCGCGCUAUUGGAGCGGCCGAUGGCAGAUUAGCUUGUUGGUGGGGUAAAGGCCUACCAAGGCGACGAUCUGUAGCUGGUCUGAGAGGACGACCAGCCACACUGGGACUGAGACACGGCCCAGACUCCUACGGGAGGCAGCAGUGGGGAAUUUUGGACAAUGGGCGCAAGCCUGAUCCAGCCAUGCCGCGUGCGGGAAGAAGGCCUUCGGGUUGUAAACCGCUUUUGUCAGGGAAGAAACGCUCCGGGCCAAUACCUCGGAGUAAUGACGGUACCUGAAGAAUAAGCACCGGCUAACUACGUGCCAGCAGCGGCGGUAAUUC
This 523-nucleotide ribosomal RNA is filed under the name uncultured bacterium. RNAcentral's name for it is "bacterial SSU rRNA". It matches the Rfam family "Bacterial small subunit ribosomal RNA", at positions 8 to 526 of the family's 1533-position model. The record is from RNAcentral.